UGGGUGAACCACACAGGAUUAGAUACCUUGGUUGUCCUACGCUGUAAAACGAUUUAGACCAGCCGUUGGGUGCCUCGCGCACUUUUGUGGCGAAGUUAACGCGAUAAGUCGACCGCCUGGGGAGUACGGCCGCAAGGUUAAAACUCAAAUGAAUUGACGGGGGCCCGCACAAGCGGUGGAGCAUGUGGUUUAAUUCGAUGCAACGCGAAGAACCUUACCUACUCUUGACAUCCUGCGAAUUUGGUAGAGAUACCUUAGUGCCUUCGGGAACGCAGAGACAGGUGCUGCAUGGCUGUCGUCAGCUCGUGUUGUGAAAUGUUGGGUUAAGUCCCGUAACGAGCGCAACCCUUGUCCUUAUUUGCCAGCGCGUAAUGGCGGGAACUCUAAGGAGACUGCCGGUGACAAACCGGAGGAAGGUGGGGACGACGUCAAGUCAUCAUGGCCCUUACGAGUAGGGCUACACACGUGCUACAAUGGUCGGUACAAAGGGUUGCCAACUCGCGAGAGUGAGCCAAUCCCGAAAAGCCGAUCUCAGUCCGGAUCGGAGUCUGCAACUCGACUCCGUGAAGUCGGAAUCGCUAGUAAUCGUGGAUCAGAAUGCCACGGUGAAUACGUUCCCGGGCCUUGUACACACCGCCCUUCACACCAUGGGAUUGGGUUGCACCAGAAGUGGUUAGCAUUACUCACGAGGUAAGCCAUGCAUGAGUGUUAGGG
Molecule: ribosomal RNA, 714 nt
Filed under: Vreelandella aquamarina
Lineage: Bacteria; Pseudomonadati; Pseudomonadota; Gammaproteobacteria; Oceanospirillales; Halomonadaceae
Description: bacterial SSU rRNA
Rfam family: Bacterial small subunit ribosomal RNA
Source: RNAcentral